Molecule: ribosomal RNA, 468 nt
Filed under: uncultured bacterium
Lineage: Bacteria
Description: partial 16S ribosomal RNA
Rfam family: Bacterial small subunit ribosomal RNA
Source: RNAcentral
GACGAACGCUGGCGGCGUGCUUAACACAUGCAAGUCGAACGGAAAGGCCCUGCUUUUGUUGGGUGCUCGAGUGGCGAACGGGUGAGUAACACGUGAGUAACCUGCCCUUGACCUUGGGAUAACUUCAGGAAACUGGGGCUAAUACCGGAUAGGAGCUCCUGCUGCAUGGCGUGUGUUGGAAAGUUUCGGCGGCUGGGGAUGGACUUGCGGCUUAUCAGCUUGUUGGUGGGGAAGUGGCAUACCAAGGCUUUGACGGGUAGCCGGCCUGAGAGGGUGACAGGCCACAUUGGGACUGAGGUACGGCCCAGACGGCUACGGGAGGCAGCAGUGGGGGAUAGAGCACAAUGGGCGGAAGGCUGAUGCAGCAACGCCGCGUGCGGGAUGACGGCCGUCGGGUUGUAAAGCGUGUGCGCCUGGGACGAAGCGUGAGUGACGGUAAUUGGUAAGGAAGCAACGGCUAACUACGUG